This 2786-nucleotide ribosomal RNA is filed under the name Escherichia coli. Its description in RNAcentral is "bacterial LSU rRNA". It matches the Rfam family "Bacterial large subunit ribosomal RNA". The record is from RNAcentral. Lineage: Bacteria; Pseudomonadati; Pseudomonadota; Gammaproteobacteria; Enterobacterales; Enterobacteriaceae.
AGCGUACACGGUGGAUGCCCUGGCAGUCAGAGGCGAUGAAGGACGUGCUAAUCUGCGAUAAGCGUCGGUAAGGUGAUAUGAACCGUUAUAACCGGCGAUUUCCGAAUGGGGAAACCCAGUGUGUUUCGACACACUAUCAUUAACUGAAUCCAUAGGUUAAUGAGGCGAACCGGGGGAACUGAAACAUCUAAGUACCCCGAGGAAAAGAAAUCAACCGAGAUUCCCCCAGUAGCGGCGAGCGAACGGGGAGCAGCCCAGAGCCUGAAUCAGUGUGUGUGUUAGUGGAAGCGUCUGGAAAGGCGCGCGAUACAGGGUGACAGCCCCGUACACAAAAAUGCACAUGCUGUGAGCUCGAUGAGUAGGGCGGGACACGUGGUAUCCUGUCUGAAUAUGGGGGGACCAUCCUCCAAGGCUAAAUACUCCUGACUGACCGAUAGUGAACCAGUACCGUGAGGGAAAGGCGAAAAGAACCCCGGCGAGGGGAGUGAAAAAGAACCUGAAACCGUGUACGUACAAGCAGUGGGAGCCUCUUUUAUGGGGUGACUGCGUACCUUUUGUAUAAUGGGUCAGCGACUUAUAUUCUGUAGCAAGGUUAACCGAAUAGGGGAGCCGAAGGGAAACCGAGUCUUAACUGGGCGUUAAGUUGCAGGGUAUAGACCCGAAACCCGGUGAUCUAGCCAUGGGCAGGUUGAAGGUUGGGUAACACUAACUGGAGGACCGAACCGACUAAUGUUGAAAAAUUAGCGGAUGACUUGUGGCUGGGGGUGAAAGGCCAAUCAAACCGGGAGAUAGCUGGUUCUCCCCGAAAGCUAUUUAGGUAGCGCCUCGUGAAUUCAUCUCCGGGGGUAGAGCACUGUUUCGGCAAGGGGGUCAUCCCGACUUACCAACCCGAUGCAAACUGCGAAUACCGGAGAAUGUUAUCACGGGAGACACACGGCGGGUGCUAACGUCCGUCGUGAAGAGGGAAACAACCCAGACCGCCAGCUAAGGUCCCAAAGUCAUGGUUAAGUGGGAAACGAUGUGGGAAGGCCCAGACAGCCAGGAUGUUGGCUUAGAAGCAGCCAUCAUUUAAAGAAAGCGUAAUAGCUCACUGGUCGAGUCGGCCUGCGCGGAAGAUGUAACGGGGCUAAACCAUGCACCGAAGCUGCGGCAGCGACACUAUGUGUUGUUGGGUAGGGGAGCGUUCUGUAAGCCUGUGAAGGUGUACUGUGAGGUAUGCUGGAGGUAUCAGAAGUGCGAAUGCUGACAUAAGUAACGAUAAAGCGGGUGAAAAGCCCGCUCGCCGGAAGACCAAGGGUUCCUGUCCAACGUUAAUCGGGGCAGGGUGAGUCGACCCCUAAGGCGAGGCCGAAAGGCGUAGUCGAUGGGAAACAGGUUAAUAUUCCUGUACUUGGUGUUACUGCGAAGGGGGGACGGAGAAGGCUAUGUUGGCCGGGCGACGGUUGUCCCGGUUUAAGCGUGUAGGCUGGUUUUCCAGGCAAAUCCGGAAAAUCAAGGCUGAGGCGUGAUGACGAGGCACUACGGUGCUGAAGCAACAAAUGCCCUGCUUCCAGGAAAAGCCUCUAAGCAUCAGGUAACAUCAAAUCGUACCCCAAACCGACACAGGUGGUCAGGUAGAGAAUACCAAGGCGCUUGAGAGAACUCGGGUGAAGGAACUAGGCAAAAUGGUGCCGUAACUUCGGGAGAAGGCACGCUGAUAUGUAGGUGAAGUCCCUUGCGGAUGGAGCUGAAAUCAGUCGAAGAUACCAGCUGGCUGCAACUGUUUAUUAAAAACACAGCACUGUGCAAACACGAAAGUGGACGUAUACGGUGUGACGCCUGCCCGGUGCCGGAAGGUUAAUUGAUGGGGUCAGCGCAAGCGAAGCUCUUGAUCGAAGCCCCGGUAAACGGCGGCCGUAACUAUAACGGUCCUAAGGUAGCGAAAUUCCUUGUCGGGUAAGUUCCGACCUGCACGAAUGGCGUAAUGAUGGCCAGGCUGUCUCCACCCGAGACUCAGUGAAAUUGAACUCGCUGUGAAGAUGCAGUGUACCCGCGGCAAGACGGAAAGACCCCGUGAACCUUUACUAUAGCUUGACACUGAACAUUGAGCCUUGAUGUGUAGGAUAGGUGGGAGGCUUAGAAGUGUGGACGCCAGUCUGCAUGGAGCCGACCUUGAAAUACCACCCUUUAAUGUUUGAUGUUCUAACGUUGACCCGUGAUCCGGGUUGCGGACAGUGUCUGGUGGGUAGUUUGACUGGGGCGGUCUCCUCCUAAAGAGUAACGGAGGAGCACGAAGGUUGGCUAAUCCUGGUCGGACAUCAGGAGGUUAGUGCAAUGGCAUAAGCCAGCUUGACUGCGAGCGUGACGGCGCGAGCAGGUGCGAAAGCAGGUCAUAGUGAUCCGGUGGUUCUGAAUGGAAGGGCCAUCGCUCAACGGAUAAAAGGUACUCCGGGGAUAACAGGCUGAUACCGCCCAAGAGUUCAUAUCGACGGCGGUGUUUGGCACCUCGAUGUCGGCUCAUCACAUCCUGGGGCUGAAGUAGGUCCCAAGGGUAUGGCUGUUCGCCAUUUAAAGUGGUACGCGAGCUGGGUUUAGAACGUCGUGAGACAGUUCGGUCCCUAUCUGCCGUGGGCGCUGGAGAACUGAGGGGGGCUGCUCCUAGUACGAGAGGACCGGAGUGGACGCAUCACUGGUGUUCGGGUUGUCAUGCCAAUGGCACUGCCCGGUAGCUAAAUGCGGAAGAGAUAAGUGCUGAAAGCAUCUAAGCACGAAACUUGCCCCGAGAUGAGUUCUCCCUGACUCCUUGA